UCCCCUUCCCUGGAGGGCUAGCCCGGUGCCGCGCACCGCCUGGCGCCUCGAGAAGGUGCCCGGGUGAGCGCGAUCCCGAGUGGAAGAACCGGAUUGCGGCUCGGCAGGGCAGCUUGUCAAUGCCAGUAGCAGCCCUCUUACGAGUGGUAGCGAUCACUGUCAGUGAUCUCGUUUCUUAGCCAGUGUCUUAGCAGAGUGCUGCGCGGGAGAGACGCAGAGGUUUUCGUUUUGUUUUAAAGUUAGUGAAAUGGUUUUGCAGAGCACUGAUACCUAUGGACUUCAUGUAAAGAAAAGCACGGAAUAUUAAUGGACAAAAACAUGAAUCAAUUUGUAUUGUGGCAUUCAAUUCCUAGCACUUUGGAAGAGGUGUCAUUUCAGGAGUGCUUCUUAAAGAAAUAAAAACAGAAAGAUAAAGGAA
Dipodomys spectabilis (banner-tailed kangaroo rat) is the source of this 418-nucleotide long non-coding RNA. RefSeq lists it as uncharacterized. The record is from RefSeq and is a predicted model, not a curated record. Lineage: Eukaryota; Metazoa; Chordata; Mammalia; Rodentia; Heteromyidae. The transcript is spliced from 3 exons.